Callithrix jacchus (white-tufted-ear marmoset) is the source of this 996-nucleotide non-coding RNA. The record is from RefSeq and is a predicted model, not a curated record. Lineage: Eukaryota; Metazoa; Chordata; Mammalia; Primates; Cebidae.
CGCAGAUAAGUCAUUGCGAAGAGGGGGUGUCACCUUCCCUGGACCCAGCGCUUAAUACGGCUUCCCCACCCCCACGUCCAUAUACACACCCCUUCUUCGCUCCCUCCAAACGGUUAUCACAACUCUGUACAAACUGAUACGGUCCCUAGCGGGCAAAGGGACUGGAAAUGAACGUCGCGGGGUUAUCAGCGCCUAUCUGUCACAGUGACUCGCGCGGCCGCAGGCUCGUCCGCUGCGGGAGCCGUGAUAUAUGUCUCUCCCUUUCGCUCACAGAAAGGAUUUCUUCCGACAGACGUGACCCCAGAAGGCGGCCGAGGGAAACUUUAAGACAAGAGGAGUUGUUUUUGUGAUAAUGCAUUUUUAAACCCCACCCCCCACCCCCAAACACACAAGGUAAAUCGAAGUAAAUUAUUUUCUAAAGGUCAGUCUCCCAGAAAGUGUUAAGCGUCUGGUUUUUUGUUUUGUUUUUACGUUCGUGUUUUCCCGGUUAGGGAGGGAAAAGGAGCCUGUGCAGAGUUGAACUGGGGUGGGGAGGUGCGUUGUAAAGUAUGGUUUCCAGAGAUGGUGAGACCUCGUCGCUAAGCGUUGUUUCCUCUGCACGUAACUUUUCAGCGUGGCCGCAUUUUGAAAAGGCUGAAGGUAGAAAACUCUGGAAUGGAGAGGCUGGCGACUGGAGCAGGAUCCAGAGGCUUUAAAUUUUAACCUGAGUGCGAUCGAAUGUGCGACUUCCAGAUGAGAUAGCCAGGCGUCCGCCCAGCCACUCAACCCCCGCCAGGACUCGGAAUGCCUUGCUUUUGGUUCUUUUCGUGAGUUCCGACCAAAUGUUUAAGUGGACUGGGUUUUGCAGAAGCUCAUUUGUAAACAGUGACGGAAAUGUGUUGUGGACAUUUGAUUUCCUUUGAUUUCAACGUUUUGAAAUAAUGUUUCUCAGGUUUGCUAUUAAAAGUAAUUUUUAAAAAAUCAUCUUACUUGCUAAAAAUAAAACUCUUUGGCUCA